Dreissena polymorpha is the source of this 258-nucleotide long non-coding RNA. RefSeq lists it as uncharacterized. Lineage: Eukaryota; Metazoa; Mollusca; Bivalvia; Myida; Dreissenidae. The record is from RefSeq and is a predicted model, not a curated record. The transcript is spliced from 3 exons.
GAAAGAAACAGGAGAAUGUGGCAGCAGACUGCAUUGAUUCAGGGGAGGACCUCAAAGAUUUUGUUAUUGAACAUAUACCACCAAAAGGUCUUGGUGUUAGAACAACAAUAAAUAGAACAAAAGGAGAUUUCUUAAUGAUUUAUCCCGGCGAACUGAUAACAGAAAGAGAAGGGGAAGAACGUGAAGAACGUGAACCAUCCGUGUUUAGAUACUUCUUCCAAUAUAAAAGGAAAGGGUGGUGUAUGGAUGCUACUAGUG